This is a long non-coding RNA of Syzygium oleosum, 525 nucleotides long. RefSeq lists it as uncharacterized. The record is from RefSeq and is a predicted model, not a curated record. The transcript has 2 exons. NCBI's taxonomy places the organism in Eukaryota, Viridiplantae, Streptophyta, Magnoliopsida, Myrtales, Myrtaceae.
CAUCUCCAUCUCCAUGGGAUAACAAGCUUGGGAGAUAUCAGAAAUGGGAGGCGGAAAGGCCAGAUCUCAUGUGGAAGACCGUACUUCAAGCAAUGUCAUGGGCCUGCAAAUUCGUCUUUCUAUGGAUUAGCAAAUCUUUUGCGACUCUGAAAAUAGCAUUGUCUACUGCAGGAAGAUAAUCUUUCGGACAUUUGCAUUCGAGACAUCUGGGCUAUCAAGAGAAUCCUGCUUGCACAUGGACGUUCAAAUUUGAGACUGUCGCAUGGGUCACAGACUUCUUUACCUUGACGGGCAUUGCCAGGAAUAGUACCGGACGGUUUUGCGAGGACUCUUCAGUUAUCACUCAUCAGUAUCACAACUCUAAUGUCAUAUGCUGGGAUUGCCACUUUGGUCAUUGCCUCUGCAGCCAACUACUCAUUCAGAGAUCGCUGGAUUAUCUCGAGUUAGUCAUAUACUUGUACAAUUGUUUAUAAUGCAAACUAUGAUGCCGUGAUGGUUAAGUCAAUUCCCUCACCAUUACUAAUC